UGAGGAAUCUUCCACAAUGGGCGAAAGCCUGAUGGAGCAACGCCGCGUGCAGGAUGAAGGCCUUCGGGUCGUAAACUGCUUUUAUAAGUGAAGAAUAUGACGGUAACUUAUGAAUAAGCACCGGCUAACUACGUGCCAGCAGCCGCGGUCAUACGUAGGGUGCAAGCAUUAUCCGGAGUGACUGGGCGUAAAGAGUUGCGUAGGUGGUUUGUUAAGUAAAUAGUGAAAUCUGGGGGCUCAACCUCACAGACUAUUAUUUAAACUGGCAAACUCGAGAAUGGUAGAGGUAACUGGAAUUUCUAGUGUAGGAGUGAAAUCCGUAGAUAUUAGAAGGAACACCAAUGGCGUAGGCAGGUUACUGGACCAUUUCUGACACUGAGGCACGAAAGCGUGGGGAGCGAACC
This 404-nucleotide ribosomal RNA is filed under the name uncultured Candidatus Saccharibacteria bacterium. Its description in RNAcentral is "partial 16S ribosomal RNA". It matches the Rfam family "Bacterial small subunit ribosomal RNA", at positions 355 to 774 of the family's 1533-position model. The record is from RNAcentral. Lineage: Bacteria; Candidatus Saccharimonadota.